AUGGCUGUCGUCAGCUCGUGUCGUGAGAUGUUCGGUUAAGUCCGGCAACGAGCGCAACCCACAUCCCUAGUUGCCAGCAGUUCGGCUGGGCACUCUAUGGAAACUGCCCGUGAUAAGCGGGAGGAAGGUGUGGAUGACGUCAAGUCCUCAUGGCCCUUACGGGUUGGGCUACACACGUGCUACAAUGGUAGUGACAAUGGGUUAAUCCCCAAAAACUAUCUCAGUUCGGAUUGUCGUCUGCAACUCGACGGCAUGAAGUCGGAAUCGCUAGUAAUCGCGUAACAGCAUGACGCGGUGAAUACGUUCCCGGGCCUUGUACACACCGCCCGUCACACCAUGGGAGUUGGUUCUACCCGACGGCCGUGCGCUAACCUUUUGGAGGCAGCGGACCACGGUAGGAUCAGCGACUGGGGUGAAGUCGUAACAAGGUAGCCGUAGGGGAACCUGCGGCUGGAUCACCUCCUUUCUAAGGAUUAUCCUAGUUGGCAAACUUGUUUGUCACAUGGGUUACUUAGCAGAAGCAGCAAACAAAGCUGCAUAUUUGAGCCAGACUGUCCUCGUAUCUCUUCAGCAUUACAUCAGACCUGCCGGUCUGGACUGGGUCGGUAGCUCAGGUGGUUAGAGCGCACGCCUGAUAAGCGUGAGGUCGGAGGUUCAAGUCCUCCUCGACCCACCACUAAUCAAAGGGUUGGGUAAAUAAGUCAGCAUGCGAUUGUAAUAUGGGGCCUUAGCUCAGCUGGGAGAGCGCCUGAUUUGCAUUCAGGAGGUCAGGAGUUCGAUCCUCCUAGGCUCCACCAUUACCAAUUUGAGUGCUAAACAGUAGUACUGUUUAGCCGUCCAAUUGGGCGAUUUUGACAUCGUGAAGAGAGAUACAAAUAUAGCUUUUUUGGAGUUUACGUGUUAGUGAACUUCUCACUUAGUGAAGCACAAUUGUGUGGACAGUUAGUGUACAAUGGUCUUUUCCUCGACCGUACCCUAAUUUGCUUUGUGAAACAGAGAAAGUUAUCCAAGUCAAAUACACUAACCAAGCAUUUUUCAGGGUAUUCCUGAAAAUGCGGGAAAGUAUAAAAUUAUGACUUUUGACCAGAAAAGUGGAGCCCUGAACCAGCGGUUCCUUGCAGCUAGUCUGACUUUUUCUGGAUCAAAUCAAGCGCGAGAAGGGCGUUUGGUGAAUGCCUUGGCAGUAAGAGGCGAUGAAGGACGUGAUACUCUGCGAUAAGCGUAGGUGAGCCGAGAAUAGGCUUUGAUCCUGCGAUUUCCGAAUGGGGAAACCCGG
This 1276-nucleotide small RNA is filed under the name uncultured bacterium. RNAcentral describes it as "bacterial SSU rRNA". The stretch from base 1 to 466 matches the Rfam family "Bacterial small subunit ribosomal RNA", at positions 1045 to 1533 of the family's 1533-position model. The record is from RNAcentral.